GUUCAGCGACAGCCGGAGGAGAGGAGAAGGGAUGCCCGGGCGCCUAACGAAACCCCUUGGUACAAAGAGGAGAACAAAGAGAACUGGGCAAUUUUGGGGUGGGUGCCCGGGCAGAAGUCUUCGUACCGGUUGCUCGGGAAGGUAGAGCUGCACCUUGGUGUGCGAUGGGGCACUUUCUCGCCGAGGGGAGAAAGAAGAAAGCUAUUUCCUACGGGUACUGCAGACACAAAGCGCUCGUGCAGCAGGAGCAGGGAAUGGCCAGAGGGAACCUUUCCGGCCACCAGGUUUCCUUGCGUUGGAAAAGCGUGCGCUCAGCCUCCUCCGCCCUUGUGCGCUCCCCACCCCCCACCCCACCCCCCACCUCCUUCUUUUUUCCUCAUUUUUUCUUUCUUUCUCUUUUGUCUUUACUUCUUUCUUCUUUUUAAUUUUAUUAUUUUUUUUUCUCUCGUGUUUCUGGAAAGCUUCUGCCAGGGCAGAGUGGGGCAGAAGCGCUCGGGUAGCAGCAUCUGUUCGGAGGAGCCGGAGAACGGGCACCGUCCGAACCACAUUUCCACGGGAGGGGUUGGCAGGGGACGCGGAGAGAGACCGCAGGGUCAGCGGAGCAAAGCAACGCCUCUAAAGCCACGGACGGCUCUCGGGGGCACGGGGCACUGCUUUCCCCCACCGCCCCUCGGCUUUUCGCCUUUGUGUCACAAAGAAAGUGAGAGAGCAUCGCUGAAGGAAUUAAGGGAGUUCCGACGGCGGGAAAAAGAGGGUCUGUGUGUGCGGUGGGUGGGUGAGGGGGGCUUGCCGGAGGGUCGGGCACCCACUGCAGGGGAUGGGGCCCCGCGUACAACCUCUGUCCCUCCAUCCGCCCCCACGGGCGGCCCCGAGGUGACUCCGCCACACAAAGGGGCGACGGGGCGCGGGCCAGCCCUCAUUGUCCCACUUGUCACGUCCUCCCGGCCACCCCCAUUCCCUUCGGGCACAGGGAUUAAGACCCAAAAGCAUUUUUUUUUUUUUUCCUCCUUUUUUUUUUUUUUUUUUUUUCCUUUCUUUCUUUCUUAA
Molecule: long non-coding RNA, 1047 nt
Filed under: Phasianus colchicus (ring-necked pheasant)
Lineage: Eukaryota; Metazoa; Chordata; Aves; Galliformes; Phasianidae
Description: lncRNA (ENSPCLG00000013670.1)
Source: RNAcentral